This 253-nucleotide ribosomal RNA is filed under the name uncultured bacterium. RNAcentral's name for it is "partial 16S ribosomal RNA". It matches the Rfam family "Bacterial small subunit ribosomal RNA", at positions 524 to 776 of the family's 1533-position model. The record is from RNAcentral.
UACGUAGGGUGCAAGCAUUAAUCGGAUUUAUUGGGCGUAAAGGGCGCGUAGGCGGGGAUAAAAGUCGUAUGUGAAAUCCCGGAGCUCAACUCCGGAACGGCAUAGGAAACUUUAUCUCUAGAGGGUAGGCGGAGAAAAUGGAAUUCCACAAGUAGCGGUGAAAUGCGUAGAUAUGUGGAAGAACACCGGUGGCGAAGGCGAUUUUCUAGCUUAUACCUGACGCUGAGGCGCGAAAGCAAGGGGAUCAAACAGG